AGAGCGAGCGCUGGCGGCAGGCCUAACACAUGCAAGUCGAGCGCCCGUAGCAAUACGGGAGCGGCAGACGGGAUAGUAACACGUGGGAACGCGCCCUUCGGUUCGGAAUAACUCAGGGAAACUUGAGCUAAUACCGAAUACGCCCUUACGGGGAAAGAUUUAUUGCCGAAGGAACGGCCCGCGUCCGAUUAGCUAGUUGGUGAGGUAAUGGCUCACCAAGGCUACGAUCGGUAGCUGGUCUGAGAGGAUGACCAGCAUCACUGGGACUGAGACACGGCCCAGACUCCUACGGGAGGCAGCAGUGGGGAAUAUUGGACAAUGGGCGCAAGCCUGAUCCAGCCAUGCCGCGUGGAUGAUGAAGGCCUUAGGGUUGUAAAGUCCUUUUAACGGGGAAGAUAAUGACGGUACCCGUAGAAUAAGCCCGGCUAACUUCGUGCCAGCAGCCGC
Molecule: ribosomal RNA, 447 nt
Filed under: uncultured bacterium
Lineage: Bacteria
Description: SSU rRNA
Rfam family: Bacterial small subunit ribosomal RNA
Source: RNAcentral